This 356-nucleotide ribosomal RNA is filed under the name Mycomya circumdata. RNAcentral describes it as "partial 12S ribosomal RNA". Lineage: Eukaryota; Metazoa; Arthropoda; Insecta; Diptera; Mycetophilidae. The record is from RNAcentral.
AAAAAUUUAAUUUUAAAAUAAUAGAGUAGUAUUAGUUAUAUUCUUAAAACUUAAUAAAUUUGGCGGUAUUUUAAUCUAUUCAGAGGAACUUGUUUUAUAAUUGAUAAUCCUCAUUAAAUCUUACUUAAUUUUAUUUAAUUUGUAUACCGUCGUCAUAAGAAUUUCUUAAAAAAGUAAAAAUUUUCUAAAAUUUUUAUUAAUAAUAAUGUCAGAUUAAGGUGCAGUUUAUAGUUAAGAAAAAAUGAGUUACAAUAAAAUUAUUUAUUAAUGGAUUAAAUAAUUAAAUUUAUUUAUGAAGGUGGAUUUGAUAGUAAAAUAAAUUAAAAAAUUUGUUUGAUAUUAGUUCUAAAAUAUGU